RNAcentral lists this transfer RNA (83 nucleotides) under Propionibacteriaceae bacterium. RNAcentral describes it as "tRNA-Leu". It matches the Rfam family "tRNA". Rfam says of the family: Transfer RNA (tRNA) molecules are approximately 80 nucleotides in length. Their secondary structure includes four short double-helical elements and three loops (D, anti-codon, and T loops). Further hydrogen bonds mediate the characteristic L-shaped molecular structure. tRNAs have two regions of fundamental functional importance: the anti-codon, which is responsible for specific mRNA codon recognition, and the 3' end, to which the tRNAs corresponding amino acid is attached (by aminoacyl-tRNA synthetases). tRNAs cope with the degeneracy of the genetic code in two manners: having more than one tRNA (with a specific anti-codon) for a particular amino acid; and 'wobble' base-pairing, i.e. permitting non-standard base-pairing at the 3rd anti-codon position. The record is from RNAcentral. Lineage: Bacteria; Bacillati; Actinomycetota; Actinomycetes; Propionibacteriales; Propionibacteriaceae.
GCCAGAGUGGCGGAAUGGCAUACGCGGGCGACUCAAAAUCGUUUGGCCGAAAGGUCGUGAGGGUUCGACUCCCUUCUCUGGUA